CUGUCUGUAGGGAGAGAUUUAAACAGUAAUUAAGAAAUCUGCAUAUAUUAGCAUGGUCCCUGCGCAAGGAUAGCAUGCAAAUUUGUAAAGCGUUCCAUAUUAAA
This 104-nucleotide small nuclear RNA is filed under the name Vicugna pacos (alpaca). The record is from RNAcentral. Lineage: Eukaryota; Metazoa; Chordata; Mammalia; Artiodactyla; Camelidae.